Molecule: ribosomal RNA, 311 nt
Filed under: uncultured fungus
Lineage: Eukaryota; Fungi
Description: SSU rRNA
Rfam family: Eukaryotic small subunit ribosomal RNA
Source: RNAcentral
AAAGAUUAAGCCAUGCAUGUCUAAGUAUAAGCAAUUAUACCGCGAAACUGCGAAUGUCUCAUUAUAUAAGUUAUCGUUUAUUUGAUAGCACAUUUACCUACUUGGAUAACCGUGGUAAUUCUAGAGCUAAUACAUGCUAAAAAUCCCGACUUCGGAAGGGAUGUAUUUAUUAGAUUAAAAGCCAACGCCCUUCGGGGCUUCUUGGUGAUUCAUGAUAACUGGUCGAAUCGCAUGGCCUUGCGCCGGCGAUGGUUCAUUCAAAUUUCUUCCCUAUCAACUUUCGAUGCGAAGGUCUUGUCUUCGCAUGGUUG